Molecule: ribosomal RNA, 375 nt
Filed under: uncultured beta proteobacterium
Lineage: Bacteria; Pseudomonadati; Pseudomonadota; Betaproteobacteria
Description: bacterial SSU rRNA
Rfam family: Bacterial small subunit ribosomal RNA
Source: RNAcentral
UAAUACGUAGGGUGCGAGCGUUAAUCGGAAUUACUGGGCGUAAAGCGUGCGCAGGUGGUUUUGUAAGUCAGAUGUGAAAUCCCCGGGCUUAACCUGGGAACUGCGUUUGAAACUGCAAGGCUAGAGUGUGGCAGAGGGGGGUGGAAUUCCGCGUGUAGCAGUGAAAUGCGUAGAGAUGUGGAGGAACACCGAUGGCGAAGGCAGCCCCCUGGGUCAACACUGACGCUCAGGCACGAAAGCAUGGGGAGCAAACAGGAUUAGAUACCCUGGUAGUCCAUGCCCUAAACGAUGUCAACUAGUUGUCGGGUCUUAACGGGCUUGGUAACGUAGCUAACGCGUGAAGUUGACCGCCUGGGGAGUACGAUCGCAAGAUUA